Molecule: long non-coding RNA, 3006 nt
Organism: Apteryx rowi (Okarito brown kiwi)
Lineage: Eukaryota; Metazoa; Chordata; Aves; Apterygiformes; Apterygidae
Source: Ensembl
CCCGGAGCAGGGUGCUGGUGUCGGCAUCCUGCCGAAGGCAGCGGAGCUGCACUCGCCGGUGCCGGGUGAUGCCGGCCUGGCCCUGGGCGGCUGCAUCCUGGUCCCCUCCGGAGAAGCCGCCGCGGAGGCACCCGGUAAGCCGGCUGCCGAGUGCUUCCUCACCUGCACCUCCGAGGAAGAGGAGCUGGAGGAUGCCGGGAUGCUGGAGGAUGCCGGGACAUCGCAGGACGCAGCAACACUGGAGGAUGCCGGGAUGCUGGAGGAUACCGGAGAGUUGCGGGACAUUGCGACGCCGGAGGAUGCCGGGAUGCUGGAGGAUGCCAGGGAGCCACGGGACACUGAGACACUGGUGGAUGCCAGGACACCAGAGGAUGCUGGGGAGCUGUGGGACACUGGAAUGCUGGAGGAUGCUGGGGCACUGCAGGACACUGAGAUGCUGGUAGAUGCCAAGAUGCCGGAGGAUGCCGCAAAGCCACGGGACACUGGAACACCGGAGGAUGCCGGGACACUGCAGGACACUGGGAUGCUGGUGGACACUGCGACACCAAAGGGUGCCGGGGAGCUGCAGGACACUGCGACACCAGAGGAUGCCGGGACACUGCAGGACACUGGGAUGCUGGUAGAUGCCAGGAUGCUGGAGGAUGCUGCAAAGCCCCGGGAUACUGGAAUGCCGGAGGAUGAUGGAACACUGCAGGACACUGAGAUGCUGGUAGAUGCCAGGACGCCAGAGGAUGCUGCAAAGCCACAGGACACUGGAAUGCCGGAGGAUGCCGGGACACUGCAGGACACUGGGAUGCUGGUGGAUGCCAGGAUGCCAGAUGCCGAGGAGCUGCAGGACACCACGACGCCAGAGGAUGCUGGGACACUGCAGGACACUGGGAUGCUGGUGGAUGCCAGGAUGCCGGAGGAUGCCAAGGAGCUGCAGGACACUGCAACGCCAGAGGAUGCCGGGACACCGCGGGACACUGCAACAUCAGAAGAUGCCGGGAUGCUGGAGGAUGCCGGGGAGCUGUGGGACACUACAACACCGGAAGAUGCCGGGAUGCUGGAGGAUACCAGGGAGCUGUGGGACACUACAACACCGGAAGAUGCCGGGAUGCUGGAGGAUACCAGGGAGCUGUGGGACACUACAACACCGGAAGAUGCCGGGAUGCUGGAGGAUACCAGGGAGCUGUGGGACACUACAACACCGGAAGAUGCCGGGAUGCUGGAGGAUACCAGGGAGCUGUGGGACACUACAACACCGGAAGAUGCCGGGAUGCUGGAGGAUACCAGGGAGCUGUGGGACACUGCAACACUGGAAGAUGCCGGGAUGCUGGAGGAUGCCGGGGAGCUGCGGGACACUGGGAUGCCGGAAGAUGCCGGGAUGCCAGAGGAUGCCGCAGCAGAGCCGGAGCUGCAUCACCCCCAGGAGCCCCCUGUCCCCACCGAGCUUCCGGAGGAGACCGAGACCGAUGUGACGAGCGUGCCAGGGCUCUGCGCAGAGCCAGCGGCGAGGAGCAGCUCCCCGGAGCCCCCGGCUCCGUGCCCCGGAGACACCAAAGAGCCUGGCCCGGAGGAGAGCGCCCCGGCUGAGCCGGAGGGAGCCGCUGUCCCCAUGGAUGCCUCCGGCACCUCCAUUCCCACCGACGCCUCCAGCUCCACGGAGGAAGAGGAGGAGGAGGAGGAUGCAUCCGUGACACCCCCCAGCGAGGACGGCCCCGACCGUGCCGCCGAGGAGGAGCCGGCGCCUUCGGAUCCCGCGGCAUCACUCGGCAGCUCCGAUGGCGACCGGCUCUCGGAUGGGCUGCCGGAGGGCUCCGUGCCGGGAGCAGCUAGCGAGCCGGACACCGCUCCGGGUGAAGACCUUCCCAGCGAAGACCUGGAGGGCAGGCGGACGCCGGUGGCAGCCGGGCUCGGCGACACGCAGGAGGAGCGGGAUGCGGCCGCUUCAUCCGAGGACUCAUCGCCGGAGCAGCCGGACACCUCGCGGUCCUGCCUCCGCGCCGACUCCGGCUUCUCCGCCGCCCCCGAGGCCAGCGAGCCGCCGACCCCCCGGCUCCGCUCCUCCUCAUCCUCCUCCUCCGAUGAGGAUGAGGAGGAGGAGGCAGCCCGGCAGCGCCCGCGGGCUCCGGCACCCCAGCGGCCGCGUUUCACCGCCUCCGAGCGGGAAGUCUACGUGGGAUCGCCGCCACGGACACCCGCCGCCGUUGCCGCCCCGCCGGCCCCCCUCGAACUGCUCCAACCACCCGGUGCCUUUUUGGAGAGCCGCCGGCCGCCUCCGGCUUCGCGGCGCCUCCGGGAUCGGCAGCAGGUCGCCGCCAUGCUGCAGGGCUCCUUCGGCGAGCUGGCGGCGGCGCGGCUCCGAGGCAGAGCCGCCUCUCCGGAGAGCGGCCCCGGGAACGCCGCCGGAGCCGUCCUGGUGCCGGCUGCUCCGCUCGAGGCGGCCCAGCCGCCCGCUGCCGGCGGCACUGCCCUUCGACCCAAAGAUCCGGAUGUCCCGCUGUCCCCGGAGUGCUUGGAUGUCCCGCCGUUCCCGGAGCGCCUGGCAUCCCCGGAGCGCCUGGAUGUCGCGCUGGAGCAAGCCCCAGUGGAAAGCGCCUGCCCGACUCUCCCGUUAGCGGAGGCGCCUCCUCGCCCCGCGACGCCGGAGGUGGAGGAGACCCCCAUGGUGGCCGCGUUCCCGGCUGCCGUAGGCAUCCCCACCGCUAUCCUGGCGGAGAGCGGAUCCACGCCGCCCUCGAGCCCCGGCACCGAGCCCGCGGCGCUAUGCGGGCGGGAGGAUGGCGAGGAAGAGGAGGGGACGGCAGCGCCCGGUGCUCUGCACGCUCCGGAUGCUGCUGCCGCCGGCCCCUCGGAUGCUGCCGAAGGUGGAGAGGCUCUUCCGAGCCCCAUGGAGACAGAUAUCCUGCCCCCGGGCUCUCCGGAACCUCUGGAUGCUGGCCGCCGCUCGCCAUCUCCGGAGCUGUGCCUGAGCCCUGCUGCUGCCCCCCGGCCAGACUCUCCGGUACCCACGGAGGAGGCGGC